Molecule: ribosomal RNA, 490 nt
Filed under: Osteocephalus cabrerai
Lineage: Eukaryota; Metazoa; Chordata; Amphibia; Anura; Hylidae
Description: partial 12S ribosomal RNA
Rfam family: Bacterial small subunit ribosomal RNA
Source: RNAcentral
GCCCAACCGUAAACUUUAAAUUACACCCAUAUCGCCCGGGAACUACGAGCAAAGCUUAAAACCCAAAGGACUUGACGGUACCCCACAUCCACCUAGAGGAGCCUGUCCUACAAUCGAUACCCCCCGCUUAACCUCACCAUUUUUAGCCUAUCAGCCUGUAUACCUCCGUCGUCAGCUUACCACGUGAGCGACCCUUAGUGAGCUUGAUGCCCAUACGCCAACACGUCAGGUCAAGGUGCAGCAGAUAAAAUGGGAAGAGAUGGGCUACACUCUCUACUCUAGAAAACACGGAAGAUUAUUUAUGAAACCUAAUCAGAAGGCGGAUUUAGUAGUAAAAAGAGACAAUAGUGCUCUUUUUAACAUGGCACUGGGGUGUGUACACACCGCCCGUCACCCUCUUCAAAGCUAGUAUAAAGUCCCUGACACACUUAAGCAUUGCAGAAGAGGCAAGUCGUAACAUGGUAAGUAUACCGGAAGGUGUGCUUGGAAA